CCUACGGGAGGCAGCAGUGGGGAAUUUUUGGACAAUGGGCGCAAGCCUGAUCCAGCAAUGCCGCGUGCAGGAUGAAGGCCUUCGGGUUGUAAACUGCUUUUGUACGGAACGAAACGGUCUGCCCUAAUACGGUGGGCUAAUGACGGUACCGUAAGAAUAAGCACCGGCUAACUACGUGCCAGCAGCCGCGGUAAUACGUAGGGUGCGAGCGUUAAUCGGAAUUACUGGGCGUAAAGCGUGCGCAGGCGGUUAUAUAACGACAGAUGUGAAAUCCCCGGGCUCAACCUGGGACCUGCAUUUGUGACUGUAUAGCUAGAGUACGGUAGAGGGGGAUGGAAUUCCGCGUGUAGCAGUGAAAUGCGUAGAUAUGCGGAGGAACACCGAUGGCGAAGGCAAUCCCCUGGACCUGUACUGACGCUCAUGCACGAAAGCGUGGGGAGCAAACAGGAUUAGAUACCCCUGGUAGUCCACGCCCUAAACGAUGUCAACUAGUUGUGGGUUUAUUACUAGUACGCUGNGUAAACGCGUNAACGUAGUCGACUUGGACGCGU
RNAcentral lists this ribosomal RNA (551 nucleotides) under uncultured bacterium. RNAcentral describes it as "bacterial SSU rRNA". It matches the Rfam family "Bacterial small subunit ribosomal RNA", at positions 338 to 883 of the family's 1533-position model. The record is from RNAcentral.